ACAGUUCUGCACAGGGGAAGCAGAGCUUGUGGUAACUGUUGUGGAGAGGAAAAAAGAGAACACACAGAUUAACUAGGAAAUAAGGUUCUAAGUGGGAGGUGUGGGAACUGGAAUUGACCACUAAGAAAAGCAAUGGAAUCACCUUUCCUAGAAAAUGAUGAAAAUACAGCAAAUAUUAAUCUGUAGAAGGUAAUGAGUUUAUUAAGAUGAGUUCAUUAACGCUAUGGCAGGCCCCAAAGAAGUGGUAAAUAAAGCCCAGUGUUAUUCCCAUUGAACUCUGAGACCGUGGGUUGGUCCUUGAGCAGCCUUAGGGCUGGCAGUGGGGAGGAGGGGGCAUGGAGCUUCUGGAGAAGUCAAGGAAAGCCUGAGACUCCACAGCGCCGGACUGGGACUGGGAAGACCACCCAGCCCACCAACAACACAGAUAUCAAGGGCAAGGAGAGUAGCCACGUGUGAAGGCAGAGAGACCUGGGGAAGUGUGAGAGCUCCGGAGGGCGGCGGGGCCCUGUGGUUCAGAGGACCUGCCCCUUGGGGUGGGUGGUGGGGAGCAGGGACUGAACACUGUGCGCAGCAUCGAGGCAUCUCGGCCUUGCGGGCAGUGUUGAGAAGUUUGGGCUUACGGAUGUGAACCUAUGCAUUGAGAAGGAGAGCCACCUGUAAUACAGCACCCAAGGAAAUGUCCCCCUGGAUCGCUGUCUUCAGAACUAGUACACACGAACCCUGAGAUCGUGGACGCUUAAGCCAGUCUAUCUGGGCUCCAGUCCCAGCUCCGAGACUUACCAGCUGUGAACACUUGGGUCCUAAACCAUUAUAAGCUCUCAAUGCGUUCAUUUUCUCACCUGUAAACGGAAGGUACAAUAGUACCGAUUUUACAGGAUUGUUGGAGAUUAAAGGAACUAAUCUGUGGGAAGUGCUUAGAACCGAGCCUGGCAUGCAGAAAGCACACGAGGCGGUUGCUGUCACAUACUGGGGAGAUUUUGUGGGAUUUUGAUUCCUGGAAGAGGAAGCUGUUUUGUAGUAUUACUGAGGUUUCCUUUCCUUUUUGUGUGUGCUCUGGAUGAUGCCUGGGUGCCUGGGAAGAGCUUAGA
Molecule: long non-coding RNA, 1088 nt
Filed under: Capra hircus (goat)
Lineage: Eukaryota; Metazoa; Chordata; Mammalia; Artiodactyla; Bovidae
Description: lncRNA (ENSCHIG00010027514.1)
Source: RNAcentral